RNAcentral lists this long non-coding RNA (260 nucleotides) under Brassica napus (rape). RNAcentral's name for it is "long non-coding RNA (BNAP_LNC001916)". Lineage: Eukaryota; Viridiplantae; Streptophyta; Magnoliopsida; Brassicales; Brassicaceae. The record is from RNAcentral.
GGGUACAAGGGCAUCAUUUAAUUUUUUGUCAGUUAAUUUAGUUAAAUUUCAUAAUACUCCCGAAAUUGGUGGACUAACUAUUAUAAAAUCGCUAUUUUCUAGAGAAACGGAGACAACAAAAGUUCCAAACCUCUUUAACCUUCAUCAUAUGUUAGUAAAUGAUGCACUUAUGCAUUGAAAUAGUAUUUUCAUAUUUUUGAAUUUUUCUCAAAAUCUAUGUGUUAAUAACCCCCUACGAAAAUAUUGAAUUUUUCGUUAAA